AACACAUCCCUGAGCUGUAGAGCUGAUGUCUGGGUGACAGGGUAUUCAUUCAUACAAAGAAAACAACCUGGAAUGGCAGUGUUUGGAUUUCUUGUGUGCUUAUUUCUUCAUAGGAUUGAGAAAGGGUGAGGCUAAAGUCCCAGGCCCUCGUGAAGCAAUGAAGAAAGUGCCUUCCCAAGGUUCAGGCCCACACGGCGCUGUGAGGCUGAAGGGGCGCGCUAGAACUUCCUUUCACAGGAUGCCACCUCACCUGAAACCCUCCUUUUCGGCUGCCACCCGAGGGACAAGAUCUCCUGAGUCUGUCCAUGAGUUACCCCGAGGAAAACCCUCAGGCAGCCCCUGAGGGACUCUGUUCUGGACUUGGAAGUGUUUUUCUCAGUGACACCUCUAGAGGGCAGCACUCAACGGAGUCCCACAGACACCUCCCAGCAUUUCCUGCUCAAACACUGGAAGGAUGACCUGGUAACGCUGGGGACUGCUUGGGUGUUCUCCUGGAAGCUCCUGAUUUUAAUCACCUGUUUACUUGUCUCCAUUCUUAUAGCUUGCUGCAACCUCCCUGCCUUGGGGUCCUGUGAUUCUCCUGCCUUGGUCUGCCGAGUGCCUGGGAUUGCAGGCGCGCACCGCCACGCCUGACUGGUUUUUGUAUUUUUGGUGGAGACGGGGUUUUUCCGUGUUGACUGGGCUGGUCUCCAGCUCUUGACCUUGAGUGAUCUGCCCACCUCGGCCUCCCAAGGUGCUGGGAUUGCAGACAGAGUCUCGCUCACUCAAUGCUCAAUGUUGCCCAGGCUGGAGUGCAGUGGCGUGAUCUCGGCUCGCUACAACCUCCACCUCCCAGCUGCCUGCCUUGGCCUCCAAAAGUGCUAAGAUUACAGCCUCUGCCUGGCUGCCACCUCGUCCAGGAAGUGAGGAGUGUCUCUGCCUGGCCACUCAUCGUCUGGGAUGUGAGGAGCGCCUAUGCCUGGCCACCCCGUCUGGGAAGAAGUGAGGAGUGCCUCUGCCCGGCUGCCACCCCGUCUGGGAGAUGAGGAGCGCCUCUGCCCGGCCGCCCAUCAUCUGGGAAGUGAGGAGCGCCUCUGCCCGGCCGCCCAUCGUCUGGGAAGUGAGGAGUGCCUCUGCCCGGCUGCCCUGUCUGGGAAGUGAGGAGUGCCUCUACCUGGCCGUCCCAUCUGGGAAGUGAGGAGUGCCUCUGCCCGGCCGCCACCCCAUCUGGGAAGUGGGGAGCGCCUCUGCCAAGCUGCCCCAUCUGGGAUGUGAGGAGCACCUCUGCCCAGCCACCCCGUCUGGGAACUGAGGAGCGCCUCUGCCCGGCUGCCCCAUCUGAGAAGUGAGAAGUGCCUCUGCCUGGCAGCUGCCCCAUCUGGGAAGUGACGAGCAUCUCUGCCCAGCCGCCCCAUCUGGGAAGUGGGGAGCACCUCUGCCCGGCCAUCCCGUCUGGGAAGUGGGGAGCUCCUCUGCCCGGUUGCCCCAUCUGGGAAGUGAGGAGUGCCUCUGCCCGGCCACCCCAUCUGGGAGGUGAGGAGCGCCUCUGCCCGGCCGCCCAUCGUCUGGGAUGUGAGGAGUGCCUUUGCCCAGCUGCCUCGUCUGGGAGGUGUACCCAACAUCUCCAAAGAGACAGAGACCAUCGAGAACAGGCCAUGAUGACGAUGGUGGUUUUGUCAAAAAGAAAAGGGGGAAAUGUGGGGAAAAGAAAGAGAGAUCAGAUUGUUACUGUGUCUGUGUAGAAAGAAGUAGACAUAGGAGACUCCAUUUUGUUCUGUACUAAGAAAAAUUCUUCUGCCUUGGGAUGCUGUUAAUCUAUAACCUUACCCCCAACCCCGUGCUCUCUGAAACAUGUUCUGUGUCAACUCAGGGUUAAAUGGAUUAAGGGCGGUGCAAGAUGUGCUUUGUUAAACAGAUGCUUGAAGGCAGCAUGCUCAUUAAGAGUCAUCACCACUCCCUAAUCUCAAGUACCCAGGGACACAAACACUGCGGAAGGCCACAGGGACCUCUGCCUAGGAAAACCAGAGACCUUUGUUCUCCUGUUUAUCUGCUGACCUUCUCUCCACUAUUAUCCUAUGACCCUGUCACAUCCCCCUCUCCGAGAAACACCCAAGAAUGGUCAAUAAAUACUAAAAAAAAAAAAAAAAAAAAAAAGAACUAAAAGUUCUAAAGACUUAGAUUCACCUGUAAGUUCUAGGAAAUUGCUCUCAAAACAUUCUGCCUAGCUUUGGAGCAUAACAACCUUAAAGAAAUAUUGAAAAGCCAAUGGCAUCAACACUUGACAACAAAUCAGAAAGCACUUCCUGAAGGAAGCAUUAAUGUGUGAUAUCUACCAUCAAGUUGUAAAUCAGAAUUGUGUUUGGCAGGUGUUGGUAUCUCUUUGCUCAGCAGGAGAUGGAGGUUUGGAGAAGCAACUGCAGACAUGGAACUGUCUGCAACCUUGAACAAAGGCCAUUGCAAUCUUAGAAUACUUCUGUUAGGGCAUUUGCCCAUCAACUGCCUGUUUAAACUUGGCCUGGCAUUACCCUUGUUAUUAAUAUUUGUAGUGAAAGAUAAGUAUUUCAAAACGUUUAUUUAAUCCUUAUUUUUUCCUAUAAAAACCUUUGUCUUCCUUAACUUCCCUGAAUACAUACAUAAUUUACUAUGACAAACAUAUACCCAUUACAACACUUAAUUCUCAAAUAAAUAUCUUUUAUUUGAAAGGGUCUCUGUUUAUUAUUUAAGUUGAAACAAUGUAUCCAAAAGCAGGUGAAUGCAGAACUUUUAAACUGUCAUCCAAGCACACAGAGAAGGCAUUAAUAUGAGUAUAAAACAGAUUUUUCUUGUGCCAAGGACAUAUUUUAAAGUAUUUUUCUAGUGACCUAGAUGGGAGGUCAUGAGGUAAUACAGGGAGAUUUCUAACAUUGGUAUUUACUUUGUUAAAGGCUGUCACCCUUGGGGCUCAACAACUUAAGGUCCUAAUGUGGUUUAUAAACUACAUGUUCAUUUCAAUAACUCCCUCCCAUUGAAAGGAAUAGAGUCAAGUUAAAAACAGCCACUCCCACAUGUUUCAG
This 3032-nucleotide long non-coding RNA is filed under the name Homo sapiens (human). RNAcentral describes it as "HSALNT0334664". Lineage: Eukaryota; Metazoa; Chordata; Mammalia; Primates; Hominidae. The record is from RNAcentral.